This 492-nucleotide ribosomal RNA is filed under the name uncultured bacterium. RNAcentral's name for it is "partial 16S ribosomal RNA". It matches the Rfam family "Bacterial small subunit ribosomal RNA", at positions 29 to 507 of the family's 1533-position model. The record is from RNAcentral.
AGUGAACGCUGGCGGUAGGCCUAACACAUGCAAGUCGAACGGCAGCACAGUAAGAGCUUGCUCUUACGGGUGGCGAGUGGCGGACGGGUGAGGAAUACAUCGGAAUCUACUUUUUCGUGGGGGAUAACGUAGGGAAACUUACGCUAAUACCGCAUACGACCUACGGGUGAAAGCAGGGGAUCUUCUGACCUUGCGCGAUUGAAUGAGCCGAUGUCGGAUUAGCUAGUUGGCGGGGUAAAGGCCCACCAAGGCGACGAUCCGUAGCUGGUCUGAGAGGAUGAUCAGCCACACUGGAACUGAGACACGGUCCAGACGCCUACGGGAGGCAGCAGUGGGGAAUAUUGGACAAUGGGCGCAAGCCUGAUCCAGCAAUACCGCGUGGGUGAAGAAGGCCUUCGGGUUGUAAAGCCCUUUUAUUGGGAAAGAAAAGCAGCAGGUUAAUACCCCGCUGUUCUGACGGUACCCAAAGAAUAAGCACCGGCUAACUUCGUG